Molecule: ribosomal RNA, 253 nt
Filed under: uncultured bacterium
Lineage: Bacteria
Description: partial 16S ribosomal RNA
Rfam family: Bacterial small subunit ribosomal RNA
Source: RNAcentral
UACGAAGGGGGCUAGCGUUGUUCGGAAUUACUGGGCGUAAAGCGCGCGCAGGCGGUCUUCCAAGUCAGUGGUGAAAGCCCGGAGCUCAACUCCGGAACUGCCAUUGAAACUGUUUAGCUUGAGUAUGAGAGAGGUGAGUGGAAUUCCCAGUGUAGAGGUGAAAUUCGUAGAUAUUGGGAAGAACACCGGUGGCGAAGGCGGCUCACUGGCUCAUUACUGACGCUCAGGCGCGACAGCGUGGGGAUCAAACAGG